AUGAAGUCUACAAUGGUUGGAGCGGAGAGGUAUGGAGAGUUAAGCGGAGGGUAUGAUGCGGAUGAGAAUGGCCGCCGAUGUGUUGGUGAAGAAGAGUCGCACCAUGAGAGAAGAACGAAGAAGAGGAGUGAUAUCGGAUGGAGACGAAAUUGGGAUAAUAUCAAAGCUCUUUUGGUGAUUUGUGCAAGGUGGAAGGCGCUUUAUCGCUCGAUGUGA
This is a non-coding RNA of Vicia faba (fava bean), 216 nucleotides long. Lineage: Eukaryota; Viridiplantae; Streptophyta; Magnoliopsida; Fabales; Fabaceae. The record is from the annotation of a GenBank genome assembly.